Molecule: ribosomal RNA, 501 nt
Filed under: uncultured bacterium
Lineage: Bacteria
Description: partial 16S ribosomal RNA
Rfam family: Bacterial small subunit ribosomal RNA
Source: RNAcentral
AUUGAACGCUGGCGGCAGGCUUAACACAUGCAAGUCGAGCGGGGGAAGGUAGCUUGCUACUGGACCUAGCGGCGGACGGGUGAGUAAUGCUUAGGAAUCUGCCUAUUAGUGGGGGACGACAUCUCGAAAGGGAUGCUAAUACCGCAUACGUCCUACGGGAGAAAGCAGGGGAUCUUCGGACCUUGCGCUAAUAUAUGAGCCUAAGUCGGAUUAGCUAGUUGGUGGGGUAAAGGCCUACCAAGGCGACGAUCUGUAGCGGGUCUGAGAGGGUGAUCCGCCACACUGGGACUGAGACACGGCCCAGACUCCUACGGGAGGCAGCAGUGGGGAAUAUUGGACAAUAGGGGGAACCCUGAUCCAGCCAUGCCGCGUGUGUGAAGAAGGCCUUAUGGUUGUAAAGCACUUUAAGCGAGGAGGAGGCUACUUUAGUUAAUACCUAGAGAUAGUGGACGUUACUCGCAGAAUAAGCACCGGCUAACUCUGUGCCAGCCGCCGCGGUAA